This 447-nucleotide ribosomal RNA is filed under the name uncultured bacterium. Its description in RNAcentral is "bacterial SSU rRNA". It matches the Rfam family "Bacterial small subunit ribosomal RNA", at positions 355 to 825 of the family's 1533-position model. The record is from RNAcentral.
UCGGGAAUAUUGGACAAUGGGCGCAAGCCUGAUCCAGCCAUGCCGCGUGAACGAUGAAGGCCUUAGGGUUGUAAAGUUCUUUUGUCAGGGAAGAUAAUGACGGUACCUGAAGAAUAAGCACCGGCUAACUUCGUGCCAGCAGCCGCGGUAAUACAGAGGGUGCAAGCGUUAAUCGGAAUUACUGGGCGUAAAGCGCGUGUAGGCGGGUCGUUAAGUUGGGGGUGAAAUCCCGAGGCUCAACCUCGGAACUGCCUUCAAAACUGGCGACCUGGACCCAAGUAGAGGCAAGUGGAAUUGCGAGUGUAGAGGUGAAAUUCGUAGAUAUUCGCAGGAACACCAGUGGCGAAGGCGACUUGCUGGACUUGUGGUGACGCUGAGACGCGAAAGCGUGGGGAGCAAACAGGAUUAGAUACCCUCGUAGUCCCUGAGCGGGCUGGCAAGGCGCAU